RNAcentral lists this ribosomal RNA (253 nucleotides) under uncultured bacterium. RNAcentral describes it as "partial 16S ribosomal RNA". It matches the Rfam family "Bacterial small subunit ribosomal RNA", at positions 524 to 776 of the family's 1533-position model. The record is from RNAcentral.
UACAGAGGUCUCGAGCGUUGUUCGGAUUCAUUGGGCGUAAAGGGCGCGUAGGCGGCGGGGUAAGUCUGGUGUGAAAUCUAGGAGCUCAACUCCUAAACUGCACUGGAUACUGCUCUGCUAGAGGACUGGAGAGGAGACUGGAAUUCACGGUGUAGCAGUGAAAUGCGUAGAUAUCGUGAGGAAGACCAGUGGCGAAGGCGGGUCUCUGGACAGUUCCUGACACUGAGGCACGAAGGCCAGGGGAGCAAACGGG